Molecule: ribosomal RNA, 496 nt
Filed under: uncultured bacterium
Lineage: Bacteria
Description: partial 16S ribosomal RNA
Rfam family: Bacterial small subunit ribosomal RNA
Source: RNAcentral
GAUGAACGCUGGCGGCGUGCCUAAUACAUGCAAGUCGAGCGAACGGACGAGAAGCUUGCUUCUCUGAUGUUAGCGGCGGACGGGUGAGUAACACGUGGAUAACCUACCUAUAAGACUGGGAUAACUUCGGGAAACCGGAGCUAAUACCGGAUGAUAUUUUGAACCGCAUGGUUCAAAAGUGAAAGACGGUCUUGCUGUCACUUAUAGAUGGAUCCGCGCUGCAUUAGCUAGUUGGUAAGGUAACGGCGUACCAAGGCAACGAUGCAUAGCCGACCUGAGAGGGUGAUCGGCCACACUGGAACUGAGACACGGUCCAGACUCCUACGGGAGGCAGCAGUAGGGAAUCUUCCGCAGUGGGCGAAAGCCUGACGGAGCAACGCCGCGUGAGUGAUGAAGGUCUUCGGAUCGUAAAACUCUGUUAUUAGGGAAGAACAUAUGUGUAAGUAACUGUGCACAUCUUGACGGUACCUAAUCAGAAAGCCACGGCUAACUACGU